This 301-nucleotide ribosomal RNA is filed under the name uncultured bacterium. Its description in RNAcentral is "partial 16S ribosomal RNA". It matches the Rfam family "Bacterial small subunit ribosomal RNA", at positions 509 to 809 of the family's 1533-position model. The record is from RNAcentral.
CAGCAGCCGCGGUAAAACGAAGGGUGCAAGCGUUAAUCGGAAUUACUGGGCGUAAAGCGUGCGUAGGCGGUGAGUUAAGUCUGCUGUGAAAUCCCCGGGCUCAACCUGGGAAUGGCAAUGGAUACUGGCGAGCUAGAGUGUGUCAGAGGAUGGUGGAAUUCCCGGUGUAGCGGUGAAAUGCGUAGAGAUCGGGAGGAACAUCAGUGGCGAAGGCGGCCAUCUGGGACAACACUGACGCUGAGGCACGAAAGCGUGGGGAGCAAACAGGAUUAGAUACCCGCGUAGUCCCUGUCUCUUAUAU